GUCUUUUUAAGUUCUUUAUAGAUUUGAGAUAGUGGGCCUUUGUCUGAGGAAAAGCAGGUGAAGAUUUUUUCCCACAUUGUGGAUUGUCUCUUCACACUGCUGGUGGUUUCUCUUGCUGUGCAGAAGCUUUUUAAUAAGAAGAGAUCCCACCUGUUGAUUGUUUGUGCUAGUUCAUGGGCAACUGAGGUUUUGUUCAUAAAAUCUUUUCCUACACCGAUGUCUUCAAGGGUUCUACCUAACCUCUGUUCCAACUGGUUCAGAGUUUCUAUUUUAGUAUUUAGAUCUUUAAUCCAUUUUGAUUUUAGUUUAGUGCAUGGUGAGAGAUAUUGGUCUAGUUUUAAUCUUUGGCAAGUUGAAGCCCAAUUUUUCCAGCACCAUUUAUUAAAGAGGCUAUCUUUCCUCCAGUGAGGGUGUUUGGCUCCUUUGUCAAAGAGGAGAUGGCUGAGUGUAUCUGGCGUUGUUUCUGCAUCUUCUAAUCUGUUCCACUGGUCCUCAAGCCUGUUUAUUUGCCAGUACCAUGCUGUUUUUAUCACAGUAGUUUGGAGUAGAGUUGCAAGUUGGGGAUUGUGAUACCUCCUGCCAUGUCUCUGUUACCUAGAAUUGCUUUUGCUAUUCUGGGUCUCUUCUUGCUCCAAAUGAAUUUUUGGAUUGUUUUCUCAAGGUCUAUGAAGUAUGCUGCUGGGAUCUCAAUUGGAAUUGCAUGAAAUCUAUAUAGCAGUUUUGGAAGUAUGGCCAUUUUCACUAUAUUAAUCCUUCCUACCCAGGAGCAGGGGAUGUCUGUCCAUUUUCUGAUAUCAUCUUCAAUCUCUCUUUUCACAAUGCCAUAGUUUUCAGAGAAGAGGUCUUUGAUUUUGUUCGUUAGGAUGAUUCCUAGGUAUUUCAGUUUUUUGGAUGCUAUUGUGAAAGGAAUUAUUUGCCCUAUUUCUCUCUCAGUGAGUCUGUCUUUGGUGUAGAGGAAAGCUAUUGAUUUUUGUGUGUUGACCUUGUAACCAGCUACUUGACUGAAUUGGAUUAUUAAGUCUAGAAGACUUUUGGUGGGGUUCUUGGGGUCUUCUAUAUAGAGUAUCAUGUCAUCUGCAAAUAAUGACAAUUUGACUUCUUCAUUUCCUAUCUUUACUCCUUUUAUUUCUUUCUCUUGUCUAAUUGCCGUGGCUAAUGUUUCCAGAACUAUAUUGAACAAGAGUGGUGAUAGUGGACAUCCUUGUCUUGUUCCUGAUUUGAGUGUGAAGGAUUUCAGUUUUUGACCAUUUACUAUGAUAUUGGCUGUUGGUUUUUCAUAGAUGGCUUCUAUCAGUUUGAGGUAGAGACCAUCUAUUCCAAUUUUUUGUAGGGUUUUGAUGAUAAAUGCAUGUUGGAUUUUGUCAAAUGCUUUUUCUGCAUCUAUGGAGAUAAUCAUAUGGUUUUUGUCCUUGGCUCUGUUGAUAUAGUGUAUUAGAUUGGUUGAUUUUCAUAUGUUGUACCAUCCCUGCAUCCCUGGGAUGAAUCCCACUUGAUCAGGGUGUAUGAUCUUCUUGAUGAUCUUCUGCAUUCUGUUUGCCAGUAUCUUAUUAAGGAUUUUUGCAUCUCUGUUCAUUAGUGAGAUUGGCCUAUAGUUCUCUUUUUCAGUUGGGUCUUUCUCUGCUUUGGCAAUCAAGGUGAUGCUUGCUUCCAGGAAUGAAUUUGGGAGUAUUGCUUCCCUUUCAAUUUCAUUGAAGAGUUUAAACAGUAGUGGCAGCAGUUCCUCUCUAAAUGUCUUGUAGAAUUCAGCAGUGAAGCCAUCAGGGCCCGGGCUUUUCUUAGUUGAUAAGUUUUUAAUUACAUUUUCAAUUUCAUUGGUUGAUAUUGGGUUGUUCAGAAGUUUUAGGUCUUCUUUGUUUAACUUUGGUAAUUCAUAUGUAUCUAGGAAUCUGUCCAUUUCCUCUGUGUUGUCCAUCUUUUUGGCAUACAGGUUCUGGAAGUAAGUAUUGAUGAUCCUCUGGAUUUCUGCUGGGUCUGUUGUCAUUUCACCCUUUUCAUUCCUAAUUGCAUGGAUUUGGGCCUUUUCUUUCCUUUUUCUGACAAGGUUGGCUAAAGAUUUGUCAAUUUUGUUGAUUCUUUCGAAGAACCAACUCUUGGCUUCGUUGAUUUUUUGUAUCAUUCUCUUAGUCUCCAUUGCGUUGAUGUCUCCUCUGAUCUUUAUAAUUUCCUCCCUUGUAUGAGCUUUGGGGUUGUCCUGCUCUUCUUUUUCUAGAAGCUUGAGGUUCAGCCUCAGGUUGUUUAAUUGGGCUUGUUCUGUUUUCCUAAUAUGCAUAUUCACUGCUAUGAAUUUCCCUCGUAAGACUGCUUUCAUUGUGUCCCAUAGAUUCCGAUAUGUUGUAUUGUCAUUGUCAUUUCAUUGAAGGAACUGUCUGAUUUCUUAAUUUCCUCUGUGACCCAUUGGUUAUUCAGAAGUGUGUUGUUCAAUUUCCACGUGUUUAUGAAAUUUUUUGAGUUUCUUUUGCUGUUGAUCUCCAAUUUCAUGGCACUAUGGUCUGGUAAUAUACAGGGGAUAACUUCAAUUCCUUUGCACUUACUUAAACAUGUUGUAUGUGUGAGUACGUGGUCUGUUUUAGAGAAUGACCCAUGUGCAGCUGAGAAGAAUGUGUAUUCUGAUUUUGUGGGGUGGAAGACUCUGUAAACAUCUGUUAAGUUCAUUCAUUCAAGAGUUUGAUUGAGUUCUAGUAUUUCAUUACUUAUUUUUAGUCUAGUUGAUCUAUCUAUUUGUGACAGUGGGGUGUUGAGUUCCCCCACUACAAUUGUAUUAGUGCAUAUAUGACUUUUCAUGUCCGUUAGUAUUUGUUUUAUAUAGUUGGGUGCAAUAGUGUUUGGUGCAUAGAUAUUUAUGAUUGUCAUCUCUUCCUCUUGGAUUCUUCCCUUUACAAGGAUGUAGUGUCCUUCUUCAUCUCUCUUAAUCAGUGUUGGUUUGAAAUCUACUUGAUCUGCCAAGAGGAUAGCUACUCCCGCUUUUUUGCGGGUUGCUGUCGCAUGGAGUAUUGUUUUCCACCCUUUAACUUUCAGUCUAUGAGUUUCCUUUUGAAUGAAGUGAUCCUCAAUGUCUGUUCCUAGGAUAUUGUGUAAAAUUCUUUGGAGUGCUGGUUUGGUAUUCACGAAAUUCCUAAGGUGCUCUUUGUCAUGAAAGUAUCUUAUUUCUCCAUCCAGUUUGAAAGAUAGUUUUGCAGGGUACAUCAAUCUGGUUUGGAGGCUGUUUUCUUUUAGGGCUUGGAAUAUGUCACUCCAAGAUCUUCUUGCCUUGAUGGUUUGUGUUGAGAAGUUUGCUGUGAUUCUGAUGGGCUUUCCUUUGUAUGUGAUUUGUUUCUUUUCUCUAACUGCUUGUAGAACUUUGUUCUUCUGUUGUGUUUCUGGAAUCUUAACAAUUAUAUGCCUAUGUGUAGAUUUUUUUUGAUCAAGGCUAUUUGGAGUCCUAUAUGCCUCACUUUUUUGUAUGUCAAGCUCUUUUCCCUUGCUUGGGAAGUUUUCUGCCAUUAUUUCUGUGAAGAGAUUUUUUUAUGUCAUCUGCACCCUCUCCUGUUUCUUCAUUGAGCCCAAUCAGUCUUAUGUUAUUCUUUUUUGCAUCAUCUUGGAGCUGCUGGAUUGAUUUCUCAUGUUCCCUUAUAAUUUUGAAGCAAUUUUUCUUUUCCUGGUCACUAAUUGCAAUCUUAUCUUCUAUAUCUGAAAUUCUGUCCUCACAUUGGCUCAUUCUGCUGUGUAGACUUUCAAUGGAGUUUUUCAUGUCCUGGAAAUCUAUUUGCAUCUGUUUUAUGGAUUCCAUUUGUUUCUUAUGUUGGGAUUCCAUCAUGUUCCUGAGCUCCUCUCUAGAUUUAUUAAUCAUGUCUUGCACUAGGGGCACAAUUUCUCCUGUUAUCUGAGAAAUUAUUUCUGAUUUCAUUUUUUCCAGAUCUUCUUUUGUUGCCAGUUCAUUGGGUCCAGGUGAUUGGGUAUCAGAGUGUUCCAUCUUAUUUCCCUUUGGGGUUGCUGUAGGUGAUCUGGACAUCUGGUUUUGAGACUUAUUUACAUGUUUUCUCAUUUUCACUGGGGCGAGGGGCUGUUAGCACCUGCAGGGAUUACCUCCUCUGAGCUGAGAGAGGUGGGACAGGGGCUGGGAGCAGCGGUAGGGAUGAUGACCCAAAAGCCCUUUCCUGUGGGCUGGGAGCAGCCGGAGCAAUGGUGGCUGGGAACCCCCUUCCUCUGGACUAGGAGCUGUGGGAUGGUGGCUCAGAAGUCCCUCCAUCUGGGCCGGGAGCGGUGGGAGGGAUGGUGGCCUGGAAGCCCCUUCUUCUGGGCCAGGAGCAGCAGGACACAAGGUGGCCCAAAAGCCCUUUCCUCUGGGCUGGGAGCAUUGGGAGUGAUGGUGACCAGGAAUCCCCUUCCUCUGGACCAGGAGCAGUGGGACGAUGGCUCAGAAGCCCCUACCUCUGGGCCGGGCACAGUAGGACUCAGUUCCUUGCCCUGGUGGUCUGGUGUCCUCUGGGUCUUUGUAGUGUGGAAUCAGGUGGCUGCCUGUCUGCAGCGGGGUGAUUCGGUGUCUUCCCCGUGACUCAGGACCUUGGUAGGGCAGGCACAGACCUGCCUGUCUGCAGCGGGCCACUUUUCAUUUUCUUAACAAUGCCAUUUAAAGUUCUAAAUUUUGAUGGAAUCUCAUUUAUCAAUUUUUUUCUUUUAUAC
RNAcentral lists this long non-coding RNA (4659 nucleotides) under Heterocephalus glaber (naked mole-rat). Its description in RNAcentral is "lncRNA (ENSHGLG00000043148.1)". The record is from RNAcentral. Lineage: Eukaryota; Metazoa; Chordata; Mammalia; Rodentia; Bathyergidae.